GAAUCGUGGCAGUGGCAGCCUCAGCAGCCCAGAGCCAGCCUGGUAGCGCAGUUGGCUCUGGCUGGCUUCAGGAGCUGCUCGCUGCCGUGGCGCCCGCCAUUUUUCCUGAAGCCAGCCAGAGCCAACUGCGAUACCAGGCUGGCUCCGGGCUGCUGACUGCUGCUGCUGCCGUCGCCACUGCCAAAG
Podarcis lilfordi (Lilford's wall lizard) is the source of this 186-nucleotide non-coding RNA. The record is from the annotation of a GenBank genome assembly. Lineage: Eukaryota; Metazoa; Chordata; Lepidosauria; Squamata; Lacertidae.